This 466-nucleotide ribosomal RNA is filed under the name uncultured bacterium. RNAcentral's name for it is "partial 16S ribosomal RNA". It matches the Rfam family "Bacterial small subunit ribosomal RNA", at positions 338 to 795 of the family's 1533-position model. The record is from RNAcentral.
CCUACGGGUGGCAGCAGUCGAGAAUCAUUCACAAUGGGGGAAACCCUGAUGGUGCGACGCCGCGUGGGGGAAUGAAGGUCUUCGGAUUGUAAAACCCUGUUGUUAGAGAAGAAAGUGCGUGAGUGUAACUGUUCACGUUUCGACGGUAUCUAACCAGAAAGCCCCGGCUAACUACGUGCCAGCAGCCGCGGUAAUACGUAGGUGGCAAGCGUUAUCCGGAUUUCUUGGGCGUAAAGGGAACGCAGGCGGUCUUUUAAGUCUGAUGUGAAAGCCGUCGGCUUAACCGGAGUAGUGCAUUGGAAACUGGGAGACUUGAGUGCAGAAGAGGAGAGUGGAACUCCAUGUGUAGCGGUGAAAUGCGUAGAUAUAUGGAAGAACACCAGUGGCGAAAGCGGCUCUCUGGUCUGUAACUGACGCUGAGGUUCGAAAGCGUGGGUAGCAAACAGGAUUAGAUACCCGUGUAGUC